This 241-nucleotide unclassified non-coding RNA is filed under the name Hevea brasiliensis (rubber tree). The record is from RNAcentral. Lineage: Eukaryota; Viridiplantae; Streptophyta; Magnoliopsida; Malpighiales; Euphorbiaceae.
AGGGAAUAACAAUGGUUGAAACAUCCUGGAUAUGUUGGAUCAUAUUGAAAGAAGUUCGGAGGUCACUGGAACACACUCAAGUAGUUUGUGUAUAUUUUAAUAGAGGAGAUAGCUAGGAAUGGAAAUUCUUGCUUCCUUGGGUUUAAUUAUGAGAUAUAGUUGGUAGAUGUUCAUAUCAAUUUUAGUGUAUUCACAAUUAUGAUUUAAUCUUCUAGGCUUUUGCCUUAAUAGGUUGUAUAUG